GGCUCAGGAUGAACGCUAGCUACAGGCUUAACACAUGCAAGUCGAGGGGCAGCAUGAACUUAGCUUGCUAAGUUUGAUGGCGACCGGCGCACGGGUGAGUAACACGUAUCCAACCUUCCGUUUACUCAGGGAUAGCCUUUCGAAAGAAAGAUUAAUACCUGAUAGUAUGGUGAGAUUGCAUGAUAGCACCAUUAAAGAUUUAUUGGUAAACGAUGGGGAUGCGUUCCAUUAGGUAGUAGGCGGGGUAACGGCCCACCUAGCCUGCGAUGGAUAGGGGUUCUGAGAGGAAGGUCCCCCACAUUGGAACUGAGACACGGUCCAAACUCCUACGGGAGGCAGCAAUGAGGAAUAUUGGUCAAUGGGCGAGAGCCUGAACCAGCCAAGUAGCGUGAAGGAUGAAGGUCCUACGGAUUGUAAACUUCUUUUAUAAGGGAAUAAAACCUCCCACGUGUGGGAGCUUGUAUGUACCUUAUGAAUAAGCAUCGGCUAACUCCGUG
Molecule: ribosomal RNA, 497 nt
Filed under: uncultured bacterium
Lineage: Bacteria
Description: bacterial SSU rRNA
Rfam family: Bacterial small subunit ribosomal RNA
Source: RNAcentral